UGAUCAGCUAUAGCAGUAGUAGAGAUAACAAUAUUUCCUUCCUCAGCCAAUGGAAUUGGAUACAUUGGUAGAUUAGGAUUUACUGUUACAUUGCCAUUAACAUUAUCCAAAUAAGUGGUUGCUUCAUUGUUUCCUUUAGGGAUCCAUUUUUGCCUUGGCUUUUUAGUCCUCACCUUGUUCCUGUCCAGGUUUACCUUUGCUUCCUGCU
Molecule: long non-coding RNA, 208 nt
Filed under: Nicotiana benthamiana
Lineage: Eukaryota; Viridiplantae; Streptophyta; Magnoliopsida; Solanales; Solanaceae
Description: long non-coding RNA (NBEN_LNC017611)
Source: RNAcentral